RNAcentral lists this long non-coding RNA (356 nucleotides) under Helianthus annuus (common sunflower). RNAcentral describes it as "sRNA HanXRQr2_Chr10g0418961". The record is from RNAcentral. Lineage: Eukaryota; Viridiplantae; Streptophyta; Magnoliopsida; Asterales; Asteraceae.
AUGUCUUCUCUCACCCUUGUCUCGUUUCUUGAUGCCUCAAGUUCUGACAAGCCAAACUGCGAAUCCAAUGAAAACAUGAGGAUCCUUUUCUAGCACAAGUAGAAAGGCGAGAAGCGUUCACGAUGAUUUAAAACUACAAUCCUAGUAAAUUGGAAUUGAAGAAUAAAUAUACAUACAGAUAACAACAAAGCACAAUUAAUAUUUGCAAUCUGAAAGGUAGGGUGUAAAGGUACAUUAGCUCAGGCAUUGUCAACAUAUCGGGAAAGUGAACUAUUCAAAGCGAAAAAAAAGGAAUGAGGUGAGUUUCUUGAAUAGAAUUUCAAGCAGCCUAGGGAAGAUGCAAAUGAAGCUACAAU